CAGCCGCCGCGGGAAUACGUAGGUGGCAAGCGUUGCCCGGAAUUAUUGGGCGUAAAGGGCUCGCAGGCGGUUUCUUAAGUCUGAUGUGAAAGCCCCCGGCUCAACCGGGGAGGGUCAUUGGAAACUGGGAAACUUGAGUGCAGAAGAGGAGAGUGGAAUUCCACGUGUAGCGGUGAAAUGCGUAGAGAUGUGGAGGAACACCAGUGGCGAAGGCGACUCUCUGGUCUGUAACUGACGCUGAGGAGCGAAAGCGUGGGGAGCGAACAGGAUUAGAUACCCCAGUAGUCCCUGUCUCUUAUAC
Molecule: ribosomal RNA, 301 nt
Filed under: uncultured bacterium
Lineage: Bacteria
Description: partial 16S ribosomal RNA
Rfam family: Bacterial small subunit ribosomal RNA
Source: RNAcentral